This 449-nucleotide ribosomal RNA is filed under the name uncultured bacterium. Its description in RNAcentral is "partial 16S ribosomal RNA". It matches the Rfam family "Bacterial small subunit ribosomal RNA", at positions 29 to 523 of the family's 1533-position model. The record is from RNAcentral.
AACAAACGCUGGCGGCAGGCCUAACACAUGCAAGUCGAACGCCCUAGCAAUAGGGAGUGGCGCACGGGUGAGUAACGCGUGGGAACGUGCCUUUCAGACUGGAAUAACUGCGGGAAACUGCAGCUAAUACCGGAUAUUCUCUACGGAGGAAAGAUUUAUCGCUGAAAGAUCGGCCCGCGUUAGAUUAGGUAGUUGGUGGGGUAAUGGCCUACCAAGCCUACGAUCUAUAGCUGGUCUGAGAGGAUGAUCAGCCACACUGGAACUGAGACACGGUCCAGACUCCUACGGGAGGCAGCAGUGGGGAAUAUUGGACAAUGGGCGCAAGCCUGAUCCAGCCAUGCCGCGUGAGUGACGAAGGCCUUAGGGUUGUAAAGCUCUUUUGUCAGGGAAGAUAAUGACGGUACCUGAAGAAUAAGACACGGCUAACUUCGUGCCAGCAGCCGCCGUAA